RNAcentral lists this transfer RNA (83 nucleotides) under bacterium. RNAcentral describes it as "tRNA-Ser". It matches the Rfam family "tRNA". Rfam says of the family: Transfer RNA (tRNA) molecules are approximately 80 nucleotides in length. Their secondary structure includes four short double-helical elements and three loops (D, anti-codon, and T loops). The record is from RNAcentral.
GGAGGAGUGGCCGAGUGGUUGAAGGCACCGGUCUUGAAAACCGGCGUGCGAAAGCACCGGGGGUUCGAAUCCUCUCUCCUCCG